RNAcentral lists this ribosomal RNA (309 nucleotides) under Triticum aestivum (bread wheat). RNAcentral's name for it is "partial small subunit ribosomal RNA". Lineage: Eukaryota; Viridiplantae; Streptophyta; Magnoliopsida; Poales; Poaceae. The record is from RNAcentral.
AUGGCGGAACUACUAGUUCGAUUUACUUGGCUUGGACCCGAGGAGGAUGAAUGGGUUGAUGUUCAGAAAUGUGUGAGACUGCGUUCUCUUCAAUGUGUUGCGGUGCUGCCUGGGGAUCUCAUUCUUUGUUUUAAGGAAGGCAAAGACCAGGCCCAGUAUUUUGAUGCGCAUGUUCUUCAAGUUCAAAGGCGCACGCAUGACGUAAGGGGGUGCCGCUGCAGAUUUCUUGUUUGUUAUGAUCAUGAUCGCUCUGAGGGCUGUUUGCCUGAUAAUAGAAAUGGAUUUUGGACUUCAUACUCUAAUCCAUGA